GCUGAUUUGGCUGGGCAAAACGAAGAUUAGACUGGCUAUUAUUUAUCGUCAUUUGCUGCUGGGCAACUUGUGGCUGGGAAAGAGACGUGGAGUUGGACGUGGUUUGAGACAUAUCUAGCAUCUGGCUUGUUGCAAGUGACCUAGAAAAGUUCUGUGAUACAUCUAAGUGCUUCUGCUGAUCUUGGAUUGGCAUAAGCUGGGACGGUUGUUGCAGUAAAGAUUGUUGAGCUAGAAGUGACUGCUGCUGCAGCUUCUGCAAAAGCUGCAUCUGUAAUUGGUUAUCAGAGAAAUGCAGCUGUUGGUUAAGUGGAUCACUCGGCUGGGGUUGCA
This 330-nucleotide unclassified non-coding RNA is filed under the name Hevea brasiliensis (rubber tree). The record is from RNAcentral. Lineage: Eukaryota; Viridiplantae; Streptophyta; Magnoliopsida; Malpighiales; Euphorbiaceae.